UCGGAUUGUAGUCUGCAACUCGACUACAUGAAGCUGGAAUCGCUAGUAAUCGCAGAUCAGAAUGCUGCGGUGAAUACGUUCCCGGGUCUUGUACACACCGCCCGUCACACCAUGGGAGCCGGGAAUGCCCGAAGUCGGUGACCCAACCGUAAGGAGGGAGCCGCCGAAGGUGGGUCCAAUGAUUGGGGUUAAGUCGUAACAAGGUAUC
This 208-nucleotide ribosomal RNA is filed under the name uncultured bacterium. Its description in RNAcentral is "partial 16S ribosomal RNA". It matches the Rfam family "Bacterial small subunit ribosomal RNA", at positions 1293 to 1500 of the family's 1533-position model. The record is from RNAcentral.